RNAcentral lists this ribosomal RNA (253 nucleotides) under uncultured bacterium. RNAcentral describes it as "partial 16S ribosomal RNA". It matches the Rfam family "Bacterial small subunit ribosomal RNA", at positions 524 to 776 of the family's 1533-position model. The record is from RNAcentral.
UACAGAGGGGGCAAGCGUUAUUCGGAAUUAUUGGGCGUAAAGCGUGCGCAGGCGGCCUUCCAAGUCAGGGGUGAAAGCCCAGAGCUCAACUCUGGAAUUGCCUUUGAGACUGUGAGGCUUGAGUACGGGAGAGGUGAGUGGAAUUCCCAGUGUAGAGGUGAAAUUCGUAGAUAUUGGGAAGAACACCGGUGGCGAAGGCGGCUCACUGGCCCGAAACUGACGCUCAUGCACGACAGCGUGGGGAUCAAACAGG